AUUUCUAAGUAUUUUAAAAUGGGCAUUUAAAGAGGGUCACGCGAUUUAUGGGUUUUAGCGCACCUCAUUUUAUUAUUUAAAAGUCGAUAUAAAGCAAGCUAGAAUUUUCUAUUGGAUUUGUCUCUAUGAGGACCUAAUUUAUUUAGCGUUGUUCAUUGGCUAUUUAUUAGAAAGCAGUCGAAGAACGUGGACCUCACACUUAAGCUCAAACCCAUUUUUGAAUCAGAGGAUAACUGUCACACCUCCUUUUUGGCUUACACGUGGCUACCCCGACAGAUGACACGUGCGUAAGAGUUUUUC
Molecule: long non-coding RNA, 300 nt
Filed under: Nicotiana benthamiana
Lineage: Eukaryota; Viridiplantae; Streptophyta; Magnoliopsida; Solanales; Solanaceae
Description: long non-coding RNA (NBEN_LNC031900)
Source: RNAcentral